RNAcentral lists this ribosomal RNA (457 nucleotides) under uncultured Chloroflexota bacterium. RNAcentral describes it as "bacterial SSU rRNA". It matches the Rfam family "Bacterial small subunit ribosomal RNA", at positions 912 to 1382 of the family's 1533-position model. The record is from RNAcentral. Lineage: Bacteria; Bacillati; Chloroflexota.
GACGGGGCCCGCACAAGCAGCGGAGCGUGUGGUUUAAUUCGAUGCAACGCGAAGAACCUUACCAGGGCUUGACAUGCUUGAAGUAGAAACUCGAAAGAGGGACGACCUGUAUCCAAUCAGGAGCUUGCACAGGUGCUGCAUGGCUGUCGUCAGCUCGUGCCGUGAGGUGUUAGGUUAAGUCCUGCAACGAGCGCAACCCUCGUCGCUAGUUAAUUUUUCUAGCGAUACUGCCCGUAUAACGCGGAGGAAGGUGGGAUGACGUCAAGUCAGCAUGGCCCUUACGUCCUGGGCUACACACACGCUACAAUGGGUGAUACAAAAGGUUGCAAUAGAGUGAUCUGGAGCUAAUCCUGAAAAUCAUCCUCAGUUCGGAUUGUAGGCUGAAACUGCCUGCAUGAAGUUGGAGUUGCUAGUAACCGCAGGUCAGCACACUGCGGUGAAUACGUUCCCGGGGCUU